RNAcentral lists this non-coding RNA (28 nucleotides) under Rattus norvegicus (Norway rat). Lineage: Eukaryota; Metazoa; Chordata; Mammalia; Rodentia; Muridae. The record is from RNAcentral.
UGGUAUUCUCACUGCCUAUUGUCACUUA